Long non-coding RNA from Lolium rigidum, 437 nucleotides. RefSeq lists it as uncharacterized. The transcript has 4 exons. The record is from RefSeq and is a predicted model, not a curated record. NCBI's taxonomy places the organism in Eukaryota, Viridiplantae, Streptophyta, Magnoliopsida, Poales, Poaceae.
UGGGAAGUAAGGUCAGAAAUAGGGUUGAUGGUUAGUGUUUUGGAAGGAUAAAGAUACUAGAGGAGUAAGGAAAUGAAAGAUCUUAAAGAAGACACCAAGAGAAAUGAAGGUAACAAUGGUUUGCUGGUAAAAGUAUUUGAACCCAUGAUGUUGUUGGGUUACCAUAUAUUGCGUGGACUGACUAUGUGCUCCUCACAUGAUUGGUAAUCCAUGUGAUGCUGCUUCAGCUGCAGGACUCGGGCCUGAUCUGGUACUUGAUCAAUUAUCUUCUUCUAACUUAUGGGUUCCUGGCACAGUGUUUCCUCCAGUCCCGGCAGACUCAAACGAUGAAACAGCUUUUGCGCAACUAUCUCUGAAUCAAUCUGGAAGUGGAACUGAGGAAGUCGCUCCAUAUGAGUUGAUGCAGCAAAUGGUGCCUCUACAGGAACUGGAGCAGA